AGAUUGAACGCUGGCGGCAGGCCUAACACAUGCAAGUCGAGCGGUAGAGAGGUGCUUGCACCUCUUGAGAGCGGCGGACGGGUGAGUAAAGCCUAGGAAUCUGCCUGGUAGUGGGGGAUAACGCUCGGAAACGGACGCUAAUACCGCAUACGUCCUACGGGAGAAAGCAGGGGACCUUCGGGCCUUGCGCUAUCAGAUGAGCCUAGGUCGGAUUAGCUAGUUGGUGAGGUAAUGGCUCACCAAGGCGACGAUCCGUAACUGGUCUGAGAGGAUGAUCAGUCACACUGGAACUGAGACACGGGUCCAGACU
This 310-nucleotide ribosomal RNA is filed under the name uncultured soil bacterium. RNAcentral describes it as "bacterial SSU rRNA". It matches the Rfam family "Bacterial small subunit ribosomal RNA", at positions 26 to 337 of the family's 1533-position model. The record is from RNAcentral.